RNAcentral lists this ribosomal RNA (253 nucleotides) under uncultured bacterium. RNAcentral's name for it is "partial 16S ribosomal RNA". It matches the Rfam family "Bacterial small subunit ribosomal RNA", at positions 524 to 776 of the family's 1533-position model. The record is from RNAcentral.
UACAGAGGGUGCAAGCGUUGUUCGGAAUCAUUGGGCGUAAAGGGCGCGUAGGCGGCCUGACAAGUGGAAGGUGAAAUCCCUCGGCUUAACCGAGGAACUGCCCUCCAAACUGUUUGGCUUGAGACCGGGAGAGGUGAGUGGAAUUCCCAGUGUAGCGGUGAAAUGCGUAGAUAUUGGGAGGAACACCAGUGGCGAAGGCGGCUCACUGGACCGGUACUGACGCUGAGGCGCGAAAGCCAGGGGAGCAAACGGG